UUUAUCUAUGUUCCACUUCCUCUCUCUCUCUCCUCCCUCAUUUCUUCUCAUGAUCCUCUAUCUUCGUUCUCUCUCUCUCUGUUUUUUUUUGGUUAAAUUGAUCCUCUAUCUUCGUUUUGGCGCCCCUAGAUUUUUGAUAUUUCGUCCUUUCCUUAUUUGGCUAUCAGUGAGGCUCUAAAAUUUGCUUCAGACGAACCAAGUUGCAGAUGCCUUACCUUAAAUGCACAACCACUUAUCUCUUCUUCUUCUUCUUCUUCUUCUUCUUCUUCUUCUCCUUCUUCAUGUUUUUGUCAGCUUCUUCACUUCAUUCUAUGAAAUGAAAGUGCAAUGUCCACAUAAGAUUUCAAGUGACCGAAACAAUCCCACACCCCAGGCGGUUGUCAUGUCGUUUUGUUGGGGGGGGAGCCAUGGUGAGGUCGUGAGUCAGAAACCACGAGCUCUGCCUAGUCAACACCGCUCGAGUUUUUAGCUGGUUUUGGAUUCAAAUCUCAAGCUUUCUAGGUUAUCUUUUUUUUCACCAAAGACAGUCGAUCUUUUUCGCUCCUUUCAGGCUCAACAAGAUGAAUAAUAUGAUAUGUCUUGGUAUUGGUGUGCUUAAGCAUGCAAGUAAAAGUGAUUAUCUGCAACUUUAAAUGGGGGAAGAAUUGUAUGCAUGACUUCGCUUCUGCGCAUAAAACACGUCCCAUUUUGUAUUCCUCUUAUCGAUCUAUAUUCCCCCUUUUUUUUUCCUUCUCACUCUUGUUCCUCCUUUUCUACUCACACUCAUCUUCUUUUUUUGAGCCUUUGGGUUUUCGAUUUCUUGUCCUUCGCCUAUUUAACUGUCAAUAUGAUCCUCCAAAAUCUGCUUCGGGCUAUCCAAUUCGCAGAUGCUUGGCCCUAAACGCAACCUCUCAUCUUGUCUUCAUCUUUGCGUCUUCAUCAGCUUCUUCAAUUGAUUCUGUGAAAGUGCAGAGUGCACGUAAACUUUGCUUUCAGGUGCCCGACACGGCUUGUCAUGUCGUGUGGCAGGGGGACAUGGCGACUCCGUGAGUCCAGAAACCACGACCUAUGCCCGGUUAAGUACAUCAUGCAAUCUCAAUGAUCUGUAAAUGUUUACUUGCUAAUUGCAACUACACUAUGCGCCUGCUCUACUGGUGGAGCUAAUAGGACAAUAUGUCCGCACCGUGUGAAUGGGUAUGAUAGUGACAUGCGAAUGCACGUUUUGUCCCUGUGUGAGCUUAUUAGCUCUGGCUCAGUCUCUUGCUCUGUUCGUCUACUAGUUGGGGCUGAUUGCUACGUAUAUCUGAAAAAUAAAAUUACAAUACCACCUAUAUUGGACUGUGUUGGGAGACUGGUGGCCUUACCAGUACUAGGCAUUCUACGAAGCGGGCAAGAAUGGACAGCUGAAGAGGAAGAUUGGCGAUUCUUUUAAUAGCAUGAGACUCUGUUUCAAAUAUCACAAUCAGGUGGCUUAUAUUUCAAAGAUGAGUUUGAGAAGAUCCGAGAAAACCAAGGGGUUCUUGAUGAUGACGGGAAUUGCAUUCCCACCACCCAGCUCACGGAGGUGAAAAUGUUGGCUAUGGUAGCUGGGGGGCCGGAACAAGAAUGGUCGUAUUUUUGGGUUGAGCUACCUCGCCGACUUACCCUCAUCCGGUCUUGCAAGUGACCUCGCCGGCUCCUCCCAUUAAUUUGAGGAGGAAAUCGAUAAUAUGAGGAGGACGGUCGAUGAGCUUAAUGCGACCAUGCUAGUGCAGGUAGAGCACGAGAGAAACCUAAUGAUGGUGAGAGCUGAAGAAGCUCAGAAGGAGCAACAAGUCGACUCUGAAACUCUUGGACGAACAAAAGAAGAUGUUUGCCAAUCUAGCAAAACAUUUGGGCAGGUCAAAGAAAAAGCAGCAUUCAUCUGAGACACCAAUAAUGCCUGGUGACUCCAAGGGGAUCCCCCUGCACGAUUCUCAAGCCGACAAUGAUAGCGAUGAGGAUGAAGAUAGUGUAAGUGAUACUGAUGAUGAUGGUGUUGGUGACACUGAUGAUGGUGAUGAUGGCCAUUAGGCGUGUUCCAUUCGACUUUUAGUUUAUUAGAAAUAGUGAUAUGCUAUGGUUUGCGAUGGUGUUAGGUAUAUCGGACAUGUGGAUGGUUUUUACUGUCUUGUUUCAUUUUGUGGAAGAACUAAUUCAUGUGGAAUAUGUUGGACGCAUGUAGAUUGUUGGUUAUGAAU
Molecule: non-coding RNA, 2198 nt
Organism: Punica granatum (pomegranate)
Lineage: Eukaryota; Viridiplantae; Streptophyta; Magnoliopsida; Myrtales; Lythraceae
Source: RefSeq, a predicted model, not a curated record